RNAcentral lists this unclassified non-coding RNA (197 nucleotides) under Scolecobasidium longiphorum. Its description in RNAcentral is "partial internal transcribed spacer 2". The record is from RNAcentral. Lineage: Eukaryota; Fungi; Ascomycota; Dothideomycetes; Venturiales; Sympoventuriaceae.
CACACCCCAAGCUGUGCUUGAUGUUGGGCGAGGUUGCAGGAUCUCCUCCUGUAGGAGAGAUGCGGCACGCCUGGAACGCGUGGGCGCCGCCGCCGGAGCAGGAGCGUAGCAAGACGCAAGUCAUUCGCUCGAUGGGACCGGACGGACGGUGUGGCAGCGGACGUGAAAGCGUCUGAAGUUAAUUAAGAAGCAAACUG